AAAAUGCGAUACUUGGUGUGAAUUGCAGAAUCCCGUGAACCAUCGAGUUUUUGAACGCAAGUUGCGCCCGAAGCCAUCCGGCUGAGGGCACGCCUGCCUGGGCGUCACGCAUCGCGUCGCUCCCCACCAUACCUCCCCAACGGGUUGGCAUGGUGUUGGGGGCGGAUAAUGGCCUCCCGUGCUUGUGUUUCGGUUGGCCUAAAUAAGAGUUCCCUUCGGCGGACACACGACUAGUGGUGGUUGAAUAGACCCUCGUCUUUUGUUGCGUGUCGUGAGCUGUAGGGGUAGCCCUAAUCAAAGACCCCAUUGUAUCGUCUUCGGAUGAUGCUUCGACCGCGACCCCAGGUCAGGCGGGACUACCCGCUGAGUUUAAGC
Molecule: unclassified non-coding RNA, 375 nt
Filed under: plant metagenome
Description: partial contains 5.8S ribosomal RNA, internal transcribed spacer 2, and large subunit ribosomal RNA
Rfam family: 5.8S ribosomal RNA (bases 1-107)
Source: RNAcentral